GAGUAACACGUGGAUAACCUACCUAUAAGACUGGGAUAACUUCGGGAAACCGGAGCUAAUACCGGAUAAUAUUUUGAACCGCAUGGUUCAAAAGUAAAAGACGGUCUUGCUGUCACUUAUAGAUGGAUCCGCGCUGCAUUAGCUAUUUGGUAAGGUAACGGCUUACCAAGGCAACGAUGCAUAGCCGACCUGAGAGGGUGAUCGGCCACACUGGAACUGAGACACGGUCCAGACUCCUACGGGAGGCAGCAGUAGGGAAUCUUCCGCAAUGGGCGAAAGCCUGACGGAGCAACGCCGCGUGAGUGAUGAAGGUCUUCGGAUCGUAAAACUCUGUUAUUAGGGAAGAACAUAUGUGUAAGUAACUGUGCACAUCUUGACGGUACCUAAUCAGAAAGCCACGGCUAACUACGUGCCAGCAGCCGCGGUAAUACGUAGGUGGCAAGCGUUAUCCGGAAUUAUUGGGCGUAAAGCGCGCGUAGGCGGUUUUUUAAGUCUGAUGUGAAAGCCCACGGCUCAACCGUGGAGGGUCAUUGGAAACUGGAAAACUUGAGUGCAGAAGAGGAAAGUGGAAUUCCAUGUGUAGCGGUGAAAUGCGCAGAGAUAUGGAGGAACACCAGUGGCGAAGGCGACUUUCUGGUCUGUAACUGACGCUGAUGUGCGAAAGCGUGGGGAUCAAACAGGAUUAGAUACCCUGGUAGUCCACGCCGUAAACGAUGAGUGCUAAGUGUUAGGGGGUUUCCGCCCCUUAGUGCUGCAGCUAACGCAUUAAGCACUCCGCCUGGGGAGUACGACCGCAAGGUUGAAACUCAAAGGAAUUGACGGGGACCCGCACAAGCGGUGGAGCAUGUGGUUUAAUUCGAAGCAACGCGAAGAACCUUACCAAAUCUUGACAUCCUUUGACAACUCUAGAGAUAGAGCCUUCCCCUUCGGGGGACAAAGUGACAGGUGGUGCAUGGUUGUCGUCAGCUCGUGUCGUGAGAUGUUGGGUUAAGUCCCGCAACGAGCGCAACCCUUAAGCUUAGUUGCCAUCAUUAAGUUGGGCACUCUAAGUUGACUGCCGGUGACAAACCGGAGGAAGGUGGGGAUGACGUCAAAUCAUCAUGCCCCUUAUGAUUUGGGCUACACACGUGCUACAAUGGACAAUACAAAGGGCAGCGAAACCGCGAGGUCAAGCAAAUCCCAUAAAGUUGUUCUCAGUUCGGAUUGUAGUCUGCAACUCGACUACAUGAAGCUGGAAUCGCUAGUAAUCGUAGAUCAGCAUGCUACGGUGAAUACGUUCCCGGGUCUUGUACACACCGCCCGUCACACCACGAGAGUUUGUAACACCCGAAGCCGGUGGAGUAACCUUUUAGGAGCUAGCCGUCGAAGGUGGGACAAAUGAUUGGGGUGAAGUCGUAACAAGGUAGCCGUAUCGGAAGGUGCGGCUGGAUCACCU
RNAcentral lists this ribosomal RNA (1435 nucleotides) under Staphylococcus aureus F16077. Its description in RNAcentral is "bacterial SSU rRNA". It matches the Rfam family "Bacterial small subunit ribosomal RNA". The record is from RNAcentral. Lineage: Bacteria; Bacillati; Bacillota; Bacilli; Caryophanales; Staphylococcaceae.